This 980-nucleotide ribosomal RNA is filed under the name uncultured Tomentella. RNAcentral's name for it is "eukaryotic LSU rRNA". The stretch from base 331 to 980 matches the Rfam family "Eukaryotic large subunit ribosomal RNA", at positions 1 to 632 of the family's 3401-position model. Lineage: Eukaryota; Fungi; Basidiomycota; Agaricomycetes; Thelephorales; Thelephoraceae. The record is from RNAcentral.
GAAAUGCGAUAAGUAAUGUGAAUUGCAGAAUUCAGUGAAUCAUCGAAUCUUUGAACGCACCUUGCGCCCUUUGGCUAUUCCGAAGGGCAUGCCUGUUUGAGUAUCAUGAACACCUCAACUCUCAUGGCUUGCCAUGAUGAGCUUGGACUUUGGGGGUCUUGCUGGCCUGCGGUCGGCUCCUCUCAAAUGAAUCAGCUUUCCAGUGUUUGGUGGCAUCACGGGUGUGAUAAAUAUCUACGCUUGUGGUUUCCUGCCAGGUAACCUUCAGUGAUGGAGGUUCACUGGGGCUCAUAAAUGUCUCUCCUCAGCGAAGACAGCUUUGUAAAUGUUUGAUCUCAAAUCAGGUAGGACUACCCGCUGAACUUAAGCAUAUCAAUAAGCGGAGGAAAAGAAACUAACAAGGAUUCCCCUAGUAACUGCGAGUGAAGCGGGAAGAGCUCAAAUUUAAAAUCUGGCGUGCCUCUGGUCGUCCGAGUUGUAGUCUGGAGAAGUGUUUUCCGUGUUGGACCGUGUAUAAGUCUCUUGGAACAGGGCGUCAUAGAGGGUGAGAAUCCCGUCUUUGACACGGACUACCAAUGCUUUGUGAUGCGCUCUCAAAGAGUCGAGUUGUUUGGGAAUGCAGCUCAAAAUGGGUGGUAAAUUCCAUCUAAAGCUAAAUAUAGGCGAGAGACCGAUAGCGAACAAGUACCGUGAGGGAAAGAUGAAAAGCACUUUGGAAAGAGAGUUAAACAGUACGUGAAAUUGCUGAAAGGGAAACGCUUGAAGUCAGUCACGUCUGCCAGGACUCAGCCUUGCUUCUGCUUGGUGUACUUUCUGGUUUGAUGGGCCAACAUCAAUUUUGACCGUUGGAGAAAGGCUUUGGGAAUGUGGCACCUUAGGGUGUGUUAUAGCCCAUUGUUGUAUACAACGGUUGGGAUUGAGGACUGCAGCACGCCUUUAUGGCCGGGGCUCGCCCACGUUCGUGCUUAGGAUGUUGGCAU